This 253-nucleotide ribosomal RNA is filed under the name uncultured bacterium. Its description in RNAcentral is "partial 16S ribosomal RNA". It matches the Rfam family "Bacterial small subunit ribosomal RNA", at positions 524 to 776 of the family's 1533-position model. The record is from RNAcentral.
UACGUAGGGCGCAAGCGUUGUCCGGAAUUAUUGGGCGUAAAGAGCUCGUAGGCGGCUUGUCACGUCGGGUGUGAAAGCCCGGGGCUUAACCCCGGGUCUGCAUUCGAUACGGGCUGGCUAGAGUGUGGUAGGGGAGAUCGGAAUUCCUGGUGUAGCGGUGAAAUGCGCAGAUAUCAGGAGGAACACCGGUGGCGAAGGCGGUUCUCUGGGCAUUACCUGACGCUGAGGAGCGAAAGCAUGGGGAGCAAACAGG